UAUCGGAGCACAGGUAACAGCACUUGACGAACGGAGGGUAAAAAACUGGGAACGCGCACAGGAAGUGCGCGUUAGCCCGAUCGCGCCAGGAAGGCGCGUGGAGGGCGACCAGUUUUUGCCCGGAGUGAGUCCUAGUGCUAUCUGUGCGGAGAUU
This is a regulatory RNA element of Desulfotomaculum nigrificans CO-1-SRB, 154 nucleotides long. Lineage: Bacteria; Bacillati; Bacillota; Clostridia; Eubacteriales; Desulfotomaculaceae. The record is from Rfam.